GAAAUGCGAUAAGUAAUGUGAAUUGCAGAAUUCAGUGAAUCAUCGAAUCUUUGAACGCACAUUGCGUCCGCCAGAAUUCUGGCGGGCAUGCCUGUUCGAGCGUCAUUUCAACCCUCGAGCUCCCCUUUCGGGGGGAGCCCGGCGUUGGGGACCCGGCGCUAACAACGCCGGCCCCGAAAUGGAGUGGCGGCCCGUCCGCGGCGACCUCUGCGUAGUAACAACCACUCGCACCGGGACCCGGGCGCGGCCACGCCGUAAAACACCCCACCUUCCGAAUGUUGACCUCGAAUCAGGUAGGAAUACCCGCUGAACUUAAGC
Molecule: unclassified non-coding RNA, 318 nt
Filed under: plant metagenome
Description: partial contains 5.8S ribosomal RNA, internal transcribed spacer 2, and large subunit ribosomal RNA
Rfam family: 5.8S ribosomal RNA (bases 1-105)
Source: RNAcentral